AUGGCUGGACUGAAACUAGUUAUGAGGAUACUGAUAUAUCUCUUUCUUUAGAGGACAACGAUAGACCUGAUGGUAGGAAAAGGGGUCCUAACCACGGUGCGAAUGGUUGUCCAGAUGAAACUGGAAGAAUUCUUUUAACUGUGAGAGAUGAUAGGUAUGUAUCCUAACCUUUUUUUAGUUUGUGUUGAAUGUAAAAUGAUUUCACUGGUUUUAAAACUUACUAAAGAGGAUGUAUACUUUGCACUACUUGUGUGGUUAAUGAUUUAUGCUUAACAAUGUUAACCAUCGAAGUAAAUGAAUAUCCUUUAUGAUUUUUCAGGUUACUCUCAUACAUUUAGAAGAAAUCACCAUGUAAAAGCACAUAAUUCAGAUUUUAUCUCCUACAUUUUGACAAGUUGUAUAGAUUAGAAGGUCCGGUGUUCUAUGCAACCUUACAACCUUAUAGACAAAACUUAUGUGCUGAUAAGUUUGGAUCAGCUGCAAUAAAAAAAAGUUAUGGGAGGCUGUGAUUUAUUAAGUUUUAGAAUUUUUGCUAUUGAUUAAGUUUAGGAGAUUUAAAAUUGGAAAGAAGACAAAGCACUUUGUGCAGGAUAAAAUGUUGGUUUUGCUUUGACAUUGCAAUCAACUUGUGUGAAUUAUUCCCCCAAUUACUUUCUACUUCAAUUCAGUUUUUGAAGAUACAAAGACAAAAAAAUGCAUUCAUUUGCUUUAAAAAAAUCAGCAAGUUACAUUUUGAAGAAGGUAAAAUUGUUGUUUGCUUCAGUUUUCCUACUAUUUGCCUGAAUCCCUCACUUCUUUAAGUUCCAUGCUAUCUGGUUUAAGUUUCCUGCCUCUGUUUUCAUGCUUUUAGAUUCAUUACUAUCUCAGCAUCACGUGCUGUAAGUACUAAUUUAAAAUCUUAUUGGGGGUGGACCUUAUCCUACAUUUAGUUUGUUGCCAGUUGACACAAAAAAUUUCUUGUGGGAAAGAUUUCAGGAAGCAUAAAUUUCAUUUAAAUAUACUUGUUGUCCUCAUAAAUUUAUUGUUGCAUACUAAUGGUUGGUACAUACAUUAGCAACAAUAGUCAUAGCCAAAAAAUAAGGAGAACGAAGUGGAGAAAGCAUGGAAUACCGCCUCAAUUGAUUGGCUGCGAGAGAUAUUCUGUUUAGCUUGAACUAAGGCUAAGGAAAGUAGUGGAUCAGAAUGUAGCUAAUUGGAAGGGAUAUGGACCACCAUGGUUAAGUACAGAGCAUUGGAAUGAGAUAAUUGAUAAACAUUGGAACAAUGAAGGAUGGAAGAAGAAAUCUAAACUUGGCCGUAAUGACCGACUCACUGUAAAGUCAGGAACAAUUACUAAGCACACUGCUGGUUCAAUAACAAUUGCUGCCCACAAGUUGAGGCUGAUUCUACUGUUGAGGAGGGAAAUGGUAGAAAGGUCUUCGAACUGGUUAAAUCAGUUUCAGCUAAGCGUCUUGAUCUUUUGAGACCAUCAGCUCGAUAUUUUUCAAUGUUUAAAGUAUGAGAAAUUAGGCAAGCUACCUACUGCUGCACAAUUGUUCGAACGUGUACAUCGAUGAAAGAAGGGAGAAGGAGACUUUGUAGACAAUAAGUUACAAAUGGUCUAUGAAAAAUAUGAAAAUGCAAUUCAUGAUAAAUAUGGUUCAAAUGUUUCAUCACAACCUGAAAUUGACAUUGAAGCAUGGUGUGAAGCAAGUCAAGGUCCUAGUAAGGGUGGUCGCUUGUAUGGGCUUGGUAUUCAUCAUCGUAAAUUGCACAAAGUUGGCAUCUCCAGUUCAUACGAUGGACAAGCUGAUAUCAUUAAUUUGCAAGAGGAACUUCGUGAUGCUUGCGAGAAGAUAGAUCAACUUACAAGGGAAAAUAGUGAAUUACUUCAAAAGAAGAAGAUGGUAGCUGUGAAGAAGAGAAUAAGAGGAUUCAGUUCAAACAAACCAUACUUCGAAUGUUGGGAGAAAGGAAUGGGUCAUGAGAUUAGUCAUUCAAGCACAAUGAUCUUCAAUGGUUGGACAUAGUAAAUGUUUAUUUUGUUUAUAACAAAGUUACCACUGAAAGUGUUUGAAGAUCAUGUGUAGAUAUUUUUUGGAUUGAAUUUCGACAAACUAAUAUUGAUUUUUGAAAUGGAAGCUAAAUUAAUUUGAUU
This is an RNA transcript of Olea europaea var. sylvestris, 2137 nucleotides long. RefSeq lists it as uncharacterized. NCBI's taxonomy places the organism in Eukaryota, Viridiplantae, Streptophyta, Magnoliopsida, Lamiales, Oleaceae. The transcript is spliced from 4 exons. The record is from RefSeq and is a predicted model, not a curated record.